UACGUAGGGUGCAAGCGUUGUCCGGAAUUAUUGGGCGUAAAGAGCUCGUAGGCGGUUCGUCGCGUCGGCUGUGAAAUCCCGAGGCUCAACCUCGGGUCUGCAGUCGAUACGGGCGGACUGGAGUUCGGCAGGGGAGACUGGAAUUCCUGGUGUAGCGGUGAAAUGCGCAGAUAUCAGGAGGAACACCGGUGGCGAAGGCGGGUCUCUGGGCCGAUACUGACGCUGAGAUACGAAAGCGUGGGGAGCAAACAGG
RNAcentral lists this ribosomal RNA (253 nucleotides) under uncultured bacterium. RNAcentral describes it as "partial 16S ribosomal RNA". It matches the Rfam family "Bacterial small subunit ribosomal RNA", at positions 524 to 776 of the family's 1533-position model. The record is from RNAcentral.